UCAAUAUGUACAGAGAUUGUGAUUCAAUGUAAUACGUACAAUUCAUCUACAUUCUCCUGUUUUUGCAGGACACAGACCUAAAGCAGAGGACAACAGCUCUACAUUGACUCAGAGGAAUCCUCCAGUACGACGACACAAACCAAAACCACUGCACAGCUCUACAUCAACUCCCACACUUUCAAGAGGAUUCCUGCAGUAUGCUGUUCAUGGUGAAGACCAGCUUGAGGCUGAUAGGGAUGCAAGUUGGACUGCUUAUCAAAGACAAAGGCCUGCUACAAGUCUUCAUCAUUCAUCACAAGGUCGACAUCAUUCAUCUCAAAGGGGGCAUGGCAACUGGCUAGUUGGGCUCAAUGUGAAGAAAAAGACUGAAUCUUUUGUGUGUUCACAAAACAUGGACUGUUGACCACAUAGUGUUUUGGACUUGUACUACAUCAUGUACUGUACUCUUUUCAAUGACAUCACACUACAUAUUGGUAAAACGGUCCCUGGAGUAAUAUUUGAAUUAGAUUCCUAAUGGCCCAGAAGUCAUGGAUGAGGGUACUGAUGUAUGGUUACAGAUUCAAACCUGCAACCUUCCAAUUGCAAGAUUAAGCUUAAUGCCCAAUAGACCACAGCUCUGUACAGUACAUUUUCUUCUACAUAAAUCCUUUCUCCCUCCAUCAGUCUUACCAAAACAUAAUGUUUUCUUACUGCAACCCCAAUUUCUCCCGUGCCCUGUUUGGCUAGCUGAUUUGUCAUGAAUUUUGGUGGUAUAAAGUAGUAACCAUCUGUGUAUGUAUUAAUAUGUGAAAUUGAACUUGAACAACAAAUAUGUAGUUGAAUUCACGUUUUGACUUAUAAUUUCAAGGCAGCAGGGGAACUUGGUUUUGGUAGUCUUUUUUGAAUGUACUAUACAAGUUAAA
This is a long non-coding RNA of Engraulis encrasicolus (European anchovy), 902 nucleotides long. RefSeq lists it as uncharacterized. The record is from RefSeq and is a predicted model, not a curated record. The transcript is spliced from 3 exons. Lineage: Eukaryota; Metazoa; Chordata; Actinopteri; Clupeiformes; Engraulidae.